RNAcentral lists this ribosomal RNA (253 nucleotides) under uncultured bacterium. RNAcentral describes it as "partial 16S ribosomal RNA". It matches the Rfam family "Bacterial small subunit ribosomal RNA", at positions 524 to 776 of the family's 1533-position model. The record is from RNAcentral.
UACGUAGGGGGCAAGCGUUGUCCGGAUUCACUGGGUGUAAAGGGCGCGCAGGCGGGUUGGCAAGUCAGAGGUGAAAUCCUACAGCUUAACUGUAGAACUGCCUUUGAAACUGUUAAUCUUGAGUGCGGAAGAGAGAGACGGAAUUCCAGGUGUAGCGGUGAAAUGCGUAGAUAUCUGGAAGAACACCAGUUGCGAAGGCGGUCUCUUGGUCCGUUACUGACGCUCAGGCGCGAAAGCGUGGGGAGCAAACAGG